This 397-nucleotide ribosomal RNA is filed under the name uncultured bacterium. RNAcentral describes it as "partial 16S ribosomal RNA". It matches the Rfam family "Bacterial small subunit ribosomal RNA", at positions 523 to 918 of the family's 1533-position model. The record is from RNAcentral.
AUACGUAGGGGGCGAGCGUUGUCCGGAAUGAUUGGGCGUAAAGGGCGCGUAGGCGGCUUUGCAAGUCAGUAGUGGAAGUCCAUUUUUCAAGGAUGGAAGUGCUACAGAAACUGCGGAGCUUGAGUGCAGGAGAGGUUAUCGGAAUUCCCGGUGUAGCGGUGAAAUGCGUAGAGAUCGGGAGGAACACCAGUGGCGAAGGCGGGUAACUGGACUGCAACUGACGCUGAGGCGCGAAAGUGUGGGGAGCAAACAGGAUUAGAUACCCUGGUAGUCCACACUGUAAACGAUGAAUGCUAGGUGUAGGGGGUAUCGACCCCUUCUGUGCCGCAGUAAACACAGUAAGCAUUCCGCCUGGGGAGUACGGUCGCAAGGCUAAAACUCAAAUGAAUUGACGGGG